RNAcentral lists this ribosomal RNA (324 nucleotides) under uncultured eukaryote. RNAcentral describes it as "partial 18S ribosomal RNA". It matches the Rfam family "Eukaryotic small subunit ribosomal RNA", at positions 1470 to 1796 of the family's 1831-position model. The record is from RNAcentral.
CCCUUAGAUGUCCUGGGCUGCACGCGCGCUACACUGAUGUGUCCAGUAUGCACCUAACCUCUUCCGAAAGGAACGGGUAACCUUUGCAAAGCACAUCGUGAUGGGGAUAGAUUAUUGCAAUUAUUAGUCUUGAACGAGGAAUUCCUAGUAAGCACAAGUCAUCAGCUUGUGUUGAUUACGUCCCUGCCCUUUGUACACACCGCCCGUCGCUCCUACCGAUUGAAUGUUCCGGUGAGCUCUUCGGACUGCGCGGUCUGCAGUUUCUGCGUUCCGUGCGGAAAGUUGCGCAAACCUUAACAUUUAGAGGAAGGAGAAGUCGUAACA